GCGGCUGUAGCUCAGAGGGAGAGCACCACCUUGACACGGUGGGGGUCACAGGUUCGAUUCCUGUCAGCCGCACCA
This 75-nucleotide transfer RNA is filed under the name Alicyclobacillus hesperidum. RNAcentral's name for it is "tRNA_Val_GAC". It matches the Rfam family "tRNA". Rfam says of the family: Transfer RNA (tRNA) molecules are approximately 80 nucleotides in length. Their secondary structure includes four short double-helical elements and three loops (D, anti-codon, and T loops). Further hydrogen bonds mediate the characteristic L-shaped molecular structure. tRNAs have two regions of fundamental functional importance: the anti-codon, which is responsible for specific mRNA codon recognition, and the 3' end, to which the tRNAs corresponding amino acid is attached (by aminoacyl-tRNA synthetases). tRNAs cope with the degeneracy of the genetic code in two manners: having more than one tRNA (with a specific anti-codon) for a particular amino acid; and 'wobble' base-pairing, i.e. permitting non-standard base-pairing at the 3rd anti-codon position. Lineage: Bacteria; Bacillati; Bacillota; Bacilli; Caryophanales; Alicyclobacillaceae. RNAcentral also lists the same sequence under 5 other names. The record is from RNAcentral.